UAACAAGGUUUCCGUAAGUGAACCUGCACAAGGAUCAUUG
This 40-nucleotide ribosomal RNA is filed under the name Acaena cylindristachya. RNAcentral describes it as "partial 18S ribosomal RNA". The record is from RNAcentral. Lineage: Eukaryota; Viridiplantae; Streptophyta; Magnoliopsida; Rosales; Rosaceae.